This 281-nucleotide ribosomal RNA is filed under the name Escherichia coli. Its description in RNAcentral is "partial 23S ribosomal RNA". It matches the Rfam family "Bacterial large subunit ribosomal RNA", at positions 1101 to 1380 of the family's 2925-position model. The record is from RNAcentral. Lineage: Bacteria; Pseudomonadati; Pseudomonadota; Gammaproteobacteria; Enterobacterales; Enterobacteriaceae.
UUGGCUUAGAAGCAGCCAUCAUUUAAAGAAAGCGUAAUAGCUCACUGGUCGAGUCGGCCUGCGCGGAAGAUGUAACGGGGCUAAACCAUGCACCGAAGCUGCGGCAGCGACGCUGAUGCGUUGUUGGGUAGGGGAGCGUUCUGUAAGCCUGUGAAGGUGUACUGUGAGGUAUGCUGGAGGUAUCAGAAGUGCGAAUGCUGACAUAAGUAACGAUAAAGCGGGUGAAAAGCCCGCUCGCCGGAAGACCAAGGGUUCCUGUCCAACGUUAAUCGGGGCAGGGU